AUGAUGAUGCAAAAGACUCUAACACUGACAGAUAGCCAGCAGAUGGGAGGGGAAGUGGGCAUGGAGGAUGCUGGUUAUUGUGUGACAACACCGCACAAGAGUAGAUGUGCAUCAGCUAACCCCAGUGACACUAAGACUGCAGCUGCUCAUGAUGAUGCUAUAUCUGAUCUAUCUGGAAUGAAAAACGGACUGAAGGGCGUGCUUACACAUUAUGAAGGUACAUUAAAAUGUGCAACAGCCUUGGUUUGCCCACCCUUCUUGGAAGAGGGCCUCUUGUUGGACAAUGUGCCAUUGAAGUCGGGCUGUGUGAAGUGCUACAUGACUGAAGUAAAGCCCGGAUUCAAUGAAUUUGCCCUGAAGAAUGUCUGA
This 369-nucleotide ribosomal RNA is filed under the name Triticum aestivum (bread wheat). Its description in RNAcentral is "partial small subunit ribosomal RNA". The record is from RNAcentral. Lineage: Eukaryota; Viridiplantae; Streptophyta; Magnoliopsida; Poales; Poaceae.